This 442-nucleotide ribosomal RNA is filed under the name uncultured bacterium. RNAcentral's name for it is "partial 16S ribosomal RNA". It matches the Rfam family "Bacterial small subunit ribosomal RNA", at positions 338 to 795 of the family's 1533-position model. The record is from RNAcentral.
CCUACGGGUGGCAGCAGUGGGGAAUAUUGGGCAAUGGGCGCAAGCCUGACCCAGCAACGCCGCGUGCAGGAAGAAUGCUUUCGGGUUGUAAACUUCUUUUAAGAGGGAAGAGUAGCAGACGGUACCUCUUGUAUAAGCCACGGCUAACUACGUGCCAGCAGCCGCGGUAAUACGUAGGUGGCAAGCGUUGUCCGGAAUUACUGGGUGGAAAGGGCGUGCAGCCGGGAAGACAAGGCAGAUGUGAAAUCCCGCGGCUCAAACGCGGAACUGCAUUUGAAACUUGUUAGCGUGAGUACCGGAGAGGGAAGCGGAAUGCCAUGUGGAGGGGUGAAAUGCGUAGAUAUAAGGAAGAACACCAGAGGCGAAGGCGGAUGACUGGGUGUAAACUGACGGUGAGGGGCGAAAGCGUGGGGAGCAAACAGGAUUAGAUACCCUAGUAGUC